Long non-coding RNA from Zeugodacus cucurbitae (melon fly), 1154 nucleotides. RefSeq lists it as uncharacterized. NCBI's taxonomy places the organism in Eukaryota, Metazoa, Arthropoda, Insecta, Diptera, Tephritidae. The transcript has 2 exons. The record is from RefSeq and is a predicted model, not a curated record.
UCAAACAAAGGGAUAUGCCUGCGUACUAAAGAGCAACGUUUCACCAAUACAGCUCAAUCACUUGGUUGAGCUUGUCUAGUUUUUAAAUAGAUUUAAGAUUUUAUAACUUGUUGUUAGGCUUAAAAAUAAGCAGAUUCAAUAAAUAAGGAUAUAUUGAAAAAAAACCAACUAAUUCACAAAUUCAUUUUAAAUACCAUUACAAAAAAUUGGAAACACUCGAUUCAACUGAGCAAUAAUUUAUUCAUGGGGCAAGAUUAAAACUUCAAAUUUUUUCGAAUUUCAUACAUUUUAAUCACAUAAUUACAUCAAAAUAUUUAUUAAAACCGAAAAAUAGAAAUAAAAUGUGAAGUUAUUUCGGCUCUUAUUCUAUUGGACAAUGAAAGUAGCGCAAAUGAGAAAAGAACGAGAAGCAGCAUAACCGAUGUACGAAAUCUCAGAGGUCCAAACUGUGACAGCAAUCACUUCUUAGUAAGAACGAAACUGCGACAAAGACUGUCCAAUAAUAAGAAGAAGAACAUGAUAAAAAAUAAUCUAUGAAAAUAUCUCAACGGCUGAAAGUACAAAAGACGUAGAUCAUGAAUGGACAAUUUUAAAACACAAUUACAACAGCUGAAUUAAAUACAGUCGGUUGAGUAGUAAGAAGCAAAAACUCCGACUGGUACGACAAAGACUGUAGAAACCAUCUGUAACAGAUAAAAAACAAACAAGAAGAAAAUGGAUCGGAAAUAAAACCAGAGGAGCUGAAAACAUUUGUAUUGAAGAAAGAAGAUUUGCCUCAAAAAUCUGUCAGAAAACGAAGCGUGAAUUAAUGCAUCGAAAAAUAGAAGGUAUAUCUGAGAACUAUGUAUCGAGUAGGGAUGCAAACAUCGUGAAAUGAAACAUCGAUGGUUCGAUGUAUCCAUGUUUCUUCAAAACCCAUCGAAAUCAAAAACAUCGGCCAUUAAAACAUCGAUACAUCGAAACGUCGAUGUAUUUUUGAACUUUUUUAACUUAUUUUAAAUUUAGUGUGAAAAGAUAAGGGAUACAGAAGCAGAAGCAUAAAUAAAUGAAAUGUAUGUAGUACGCUUUAAGGUGAUACAUUUUAUUUCACUUAGCAUUAUAUGUCUGUUAAAGUUUUUUCUCAAUAAAUAAUAGUAAUAACAAUUUCAAAACAA